GUUAUCUUUUCCAUUAUUGGAAGCCUUGACCACUUCAAGCAAGUUGAAGGCAGAACACUCCAAGCAUGAUGGAAUCCCUUCUCUUGUCCGGCAGCAUUAGUGGAUGCUGGCGAGAUGACCAUCAAGGCUGAAGUAUGGCAACACUGUGCUGUUUGAGAGUAAACGGAGAGACAAGUUGCAAUUGAAAAUGUUAUCUUUUCCAUUAUUGGAAGCCUUGACCACUUCAAGCAAGUUGAAGGCAGAACACUCCAAGCAUGAUGGAAUCCCUUCUCUUGUCCGGCAGCAUUAGUGGAUGCUGGCGAGAUGACCAUCAAGGCUGAAGUAUGGCAACACUGUGCUGUUUGAGAGUAAACGGAGAGACAAGUUGCAAUUGAAAAUGUUAUCUUUUCCAUUAUUGGAAGCCUUGACCACUUCAAGCAAGUUGAAGGCAGAACACUCCAAGCAUGAUGGAAUCCCUUCUCUUGUCCGGCAGCAUUAGUGGAUGCUGGCGAGAUGACCAUCAAGGCUGAAGUAUGGCAACACUGUGCUGUUUGAGAGUAAACGGAGAGACAAGUUGCAAUUGAAAAUGUUAUCUUUUCCAUUAUUGGAAGCCUUGACCACUUCAAGCAAGUUGAAGGCAGAACACUCCAAGCAUGAUGGAAUCCCUUCUCUUGUCCGGCAGCAUUAGUGGAUGCUGGCGAGAUGACCAUCAAGGCUGAAGUAUGGCAACACUGUGCUGUUUGAGAGUAAACGGAGAGACAAGUUGCAAUUGAAAAUGUUAUCUUUUCCUUUAUUGGAAGCCUUGACCACUUCAAGCAAGUUGAAGGCAGAACACUCCAAGCAUGAUGGAAUCCCUUCUCUUGUCCGGCAGCAUUAGUGGAUGCUGGCGAGAUGACCAUCAAGGCUGAAGUAUGGCAACACUGUGCUGUUUGAGAGUAAACGGAGAGCUAAUCUCAUUUAAGGUGCUCUUUGAAGAAGCGUUGUCACCAACGCGAAACCGGUCAGAGCCGUAGCAUUAUAUCAUCGUUCUUCACAACAUCAAGCCUUUCUUGUCCCUUCUAUACUUCGUUGGAUAGACUCUUUACAACGGAUCCUUGAUCUUUAUCUAAGAUUUGUAUCAUUAUUAUGAUUUACGCUUUUGUAUAUAUCAUUUGAGAAGUACAUGGGACUCUGAUGUAAUUUAUUGAGCUUGCUGUUUAUAUUCAUAGUUCCUAUGGAACUGGAAUAUCUUUGUUAAUGUAUUAUGUUUAUGCUGUAUUAAAAAAAAAAAACAUUUUUAAACUAAA
Rana temporaria (common frog) is the source of this 1265-nucleotide long non-coding RNA. RefSeq lists it as uncharacterized. Lineage: Eukaryota; Metazoa; Chordata; Amphibia; Anura; Ranidae. The record is from RefSeq and is a predicted model, not a curated record. The transcript is spliced from 11 exons.